AUGGGUAGGGGAGCGUCCUGCAGCCGGUGAAGCCGCCGAGUGAUCGAGUGGUGGAGGCUGUGGGAGUGAGAAUGCAGGCAUGAGUAGCGAGUCACACGUGAGAAACGUGUGCGCCGGAUGACCAAGGGUUCCUGGGGCAGGCUAAUCCGCCCAGGGUAAGUCGGGACCUAAGGCGAGGCCGACAGGCGUAGUCGAUGGACAACGGGUUGAUA
This 212-nucleotide ribosomal RNA is filed under the name Micromonospora aurantiaca (nom. illeg.). Its description in RNAcentral is "partial 23S ribosomal RNA". It matches the Rfam family "Bacterial large subunit ribosomal RNA", at positions 1224 to 1435 of the family's 2925-position model. The record is from RNAcentral. Lineage: Bacteria; Bacillati; Actinomycetota; Actinomycetes; Micromonosporales; Micromonosporaceae.